CCUAACACAUGCAAGUCGAACGGUAACAGGAAGAAGCUUGCUGCUUCGCUGACGAGUGGCGGACGGGUGAGUAAUGUCUGGGAAGCUGCCUGAUGGAGGGGGAUAACUACUGGAAACGGUAGCUAAUACCGCAUAAUGUCGCAAGACCAAAGAGGGGGACCUUCGGGCCUCUUGCCAUCGGAUGUGCCCAGAUGGGAUUAGCUUGUUGGUGGGGUAACGGCUCACCAAGGCGACGAUCCCUAGCUGGUCUGAGAGGAUGACCAGCCACACUGGAACUGAGACACGGUCCAGACUCCUACGGGAGGC
This 306-nucleotide ribosomal RNA is filed under the name uncultured bacterium. RNAcentral's name for it is "bacterial SSU rRNA". It matches the Rfam family "Bacterial small subunit ribosomal RNA", at positions 47 to 349 of the family's 1533-position model. The record is from RNAcentral.